CUAUACACACACACACACGGGUCAGUCCUGCGGAAACACACACUGAGACACUCUCUGUACAGCCUGGAGGAAACACACACUCCGAUGUGAUUAGCAGACCUAUGUGUGUGUGUGUGUGUGUGUGUGUGAGACACGUUCACACCCUCCGGAUGUAGGACACGGAGAGCGGAAACUCUAUAUAGAGACACGCCCACACCCACAGCUGCCCACAGGGUGGGUACAGGUUAGCCCAUACAUCCCUCGACAUGGUGUGACGUACACCUCCCCGGCUCAUCCCACACUAACUGAGCCAGCAACACUGACCCUAAGAGAUUCCCAUUUUUUCAAAAUGUUGUGCAGUUUGGGAUUUCCCUUCACUGGAACAAAGAGGCCCAAACCUGUUCCAGCAUGCCAGGGCCCCUAUGUACAGAGCCGGCUGAAAGAAGACACGGUGUGUUUAAGGUUGGAGUGGAAGACUUGGAGUGUCCUCUCCAGAGCCCUAACUGACCUCUACACCUUUGGGAUGAACUGGAACACGACCUGCACCCCAGACCUCUUCACCCAGCCUCAGUGCCUGACCGAAUUAAAGCCCAGGUUUCACUUUCAUGUUUUUUGUUUUUAAAAUGACGGCGUGCUGCGGCCCCAGGGUGCUCUGAUGUCAUUGGAUUCAUUGGAACGAGGCGCAGGAAAGGCAAAAGAUGAUGUAAAGGCACGGGAAAGGUUAACGGAGGUUACUUAUGAAUAGUUCUAUUCUGCAGAUCCCUGUGGAUCCCUAUAGUAACAUUCACUUAGCUGUGAUUACCACCCUGGCACUUCUCCUGACCCUCCUUGCCAUCAUGUGCACUACAGCUCCCUACGGUUCGCUACUGAGGGCCACGAAUGUCCACGGAUUGGCCUGUGUGGAAACACAGUGGAAUUAUAUGUUUUGUUCAUGCUUAACAUAUUCACUGCUCAUUUCGGCAAGUUGCAGGUGGCUGAAGGCUCAUUAUGAUUUGUAAAUUCUUAGCAAUCUGAAACAAAAAUUGGGAACUGAGCUAAAUGAUCUUUUGGCUGAAUUCACACAGCGACGCUCCAAAAUCUAGUGGACUCUAACACUUUUGCCAGACGAAUGAAAGCUGUGUUAAUGCCAGUUCUUGAAAUGGCACAUAUGGGUGUGCACAUAUGGAGGGUCCUUCAUGAGCUGUAACACGGGCAUCGUCGUGGUGUUAUAUAGGCUGCACAGACUACUAUAUUUAAAUUAGCUACAUUUAACUAAGAAUCAUUGCACAUAACACAGAACAAAGCAGAACAACAAUGAGAUUAUUAGUAAUAGUAGACCAGUGCCUACACACACAUCCGUACUGUAACUGAUUAUUAAGCUAAAAUGUCUGUGUUAUUUUAAUAUUUUAAAUAGAUAUAGCUAUUCAUACUGCUUAUUUUCCAUAAAUCAA
Molecule: long non-coding RNA, 1409 nt
Organism: Clarias gariepinus (North African catfish)
Lineage: Eukaryota; Metazoa; Chordata; Actinopteri; Siluriformes; Clariidae
Exons: 3
Source: RefSeq, a predicted model, not a curated record